RNAcentral lists this ribosomal RNA (421 nucleotides) under uncultured bacterium. RNAcentral's name for it is "bacterial SSU rRNA". It matches the Rfam family "Bacterial small subunit ribosomal RNA", at positions 355 to 786 of the family's 1533-position model. The record is from RNAcentral.
UGGGGAAUAUUGCACAAUGGAGGGAACUCUGAUGCAGCGAUGCCGCGUGAGGGAAGAAGGUUUAGGAUUGUAAACCUCUGUCUUCAGGGACGAAAUAAAUGACGGUACCUGAGGAGGAAGCUCCGGCUAACUACGUGCCAGCAGCCGCGGUAAUACGUAGGGAGCGAGCGUUGUCCGGAAUUACUGGGUGUAAAGGGAGCGUAGGCGGGAUUGCAAGUCAGAUGUGAAAUGUAUGGGCUUAACCCAUAAAUUGCAUUUGAAACUGUAGUUCUUGAGUGAAGUAGAGGUAAAGCGGAAUUCCUAGUGUAGCGGUGAAAAUGCGUAGAUAUUAGGAGGAAACACCAGUGGCGAAAGGCGGCUUACUGGACGGUAACUGACGUUGAGGCUCGAAAGCGUGGGGAGCAAAACAGGAUUAGAUACC